Molecule: non-coding RNA, 23 nt
Filed under: Rattus norvegicus (Norway rat)
Lineage: Eukaryota; Metazoa; Chordata; Mammalia; Rodentia; Muridae
Source: RNAcentral
CUAAGGUGCUUAAGAAUGUUGAC